AGUGAACGCUGGCGGUAGGCCUAACACAUGCAAGUCGAACGGCAGCACAGUAAGAGCUUGCUCUUACGGGUGGCGAGUGGCGGACGAGUGAGGAAUACAUCGGAAUCUACUUUUUCGUGGGGGAUAACGUAGGGAAACUUACGCUAAUACCGCAUACGACCUACGGGUGAAAGCAGGGGAUCUUCGGACCUUGCGCGAUUGAAUGAGCCGAUGUCGGAUUAGCUAGUUGGCGGGGUAAAGGCCCACCAAGGCGACGAUCCAUAGCUGGUCUGAGAGGAUGAUCAGCCACACUGGAACUGAGACACGGUCCAGACACCUACGGGAGGCAGCAGUGGGGAAUAUUGGACAAUGGGCGCAAGCCUGAUCCAGCCAUACCGCGUGGGUGAAGAAGGCCUUCGGGUUGUAAAGCCCUUUUGUUGGGAAAGAAAAGCAGCAGGUUAAUACCCCGCUGUUCUGACGGUACCCAAAGAAUAAGCACCGGCUAACUUCGUG
Molecule: ribosomal RNA, 492 nt
Filed under: uncultured bacterium
Lineage: Bacteria
Description: partial 16S ribosomal RNA
Rfam family: Bacterial small subunit ribosomal RNA
Source: RNAcentral